GCGAUGAAGGACGUGCUAAUCUGCGAUAAGCGUCGGUAAGGUGAUAUGAACCGUUAUAACCGGCGAUUUCCGAAUGGGGAAACCCAGUGUGAUUCGUCACACUAUCAUUAACUGAAUCCAUAGGUUAAUGAGGCGAACCGGGGGAACUGAAACAUCUAAGUACCCCGAGGAAAAGAAAUCAACCGAGAUUCCCCCAGUAGCGGCGAGCGAACGGGGAGCAGCCCAGAGCCUGAAUCAGUGUGUGUGUUAGUGGAAGCGUCUGGAAAGGCGCGCGAUACAGGGUGACAGCCCCGUACACAAAAAUGCACAUGCUGUGAGCUCGAUGAGUAGGGCGGGACACGUGGUAUCCUGUCUGAAUAUGGGGGGACCAUCCUCCAAGGCUAAAUACUCCUGACUGACCGAUAGUGAACCAGUACCGUGAGGGAAAGGCGAAAAGAACCCCGGCGAGGGGAGUGAAAAAGAACCUGAAACCGUGUACGUACAAGCAGUGGGAGCACGCUUAGGCGUGUGACUGCGUACCUUUUGUAUAAUGGGUCAGCGACUUAUAUUCUGUAGCAAGGUUAACCGAAUAGGGGAGCCGAAGGGAAACCGAGUCUUAACUGGGCGUUAAGUUGCAGGGUAUAGACCCGAAACCCGGUGAUCUAGCCAUGGGCAGGUUGAAGGUUGGGUAACACUAACUGGAGGACCGAACCGACUAAUGUUGAAAAAUUAGCGGAUGACUUGUGGCUGGGGGUGAAAGGCCAAUCAAACCGGGAGAUAGCUGGUUCUCCCCGAAAGCUAUUUAGGUAGCGCCUCGUGAAUUCAUCUCCGGGGGUAGAGCACUGUUUCGGCAAGGGGGUCAUCCCGACUUACCAACCCGAUGCAAACUGCGAAUACCGGAGAAUGUUAUCACGGGAGACACACGGCGGGUGCUAACGUCCGUCGUGAAGAGGGAAACAACCCAGACCGCCAGCUAAGGUCCCAAAGUCAUGGUUAAGUGGGAAACGAUGUGGGAAGGCCCAGACAGCCAGGAUGUUGGCUUAGAAGCAGCCAUCAUUUAAAGAAAGCGUAAUAGCUCACUGGUCGAGUCGGCCUGCGCGGAAGAUGUAACGGGGCUAAACCAUGCAC
RNAcentral lists this ribosomal RNA (1107 nucleotides) under Escherichia coli. RNAcentral's name for it is "partial 23S ribosomal RNA". It matches the Rfam family "Bacterial large subunit ribosomal RNA", at positions 46 to 1194 of the family's 2925-position model. Lineage: Bacteria; Pseudomonadati; Pseudomonadota; Gammaproteobacteria; Enterobacterales; Enterobacteriaceae. The record is from RNAcentral.